CCCUAUGGGGUGCACCAGAUGCGGGGUCAAUUAAAGUUGCUAAAAGUUAUGCUGGUAAAUUAGGCUGUGGUGUGGCUAUGAUUUAUAAGCACAGAACAGCCCCUUCUGAAAUUGGUGAAAUGUUCUUAAUUGGUGACGUUGCUGAAAAACAUUGUAUUAUAGUAGAUGAUAUGGUAGAUAGUGGGGGCACCUUAGUUAAGGCGGCCAACCUUUUAACUUCAUAUAAAGCAUCUUCUGUAGAAUGUUACUGUACUCAUCCUGUACUAAGUGGAAGUGCUUUUGAUAAAAUUGACAGAUCAUUUAUAGAAAAAUUGUAUGUAACAGAUACUAUUAAUAACUUAGGUAUUCGUAUGUCUUCUAGAAUUGGCGGGGAGGGC
Molecule: ribosomal RNA, 377 nt
Filed under: uncultured prokaryote
Description: partial 16S ribosomal RNA
Source: RNAcentral